CACGUAGGGGGCGAGCGUUGUCCGGAUUUAUUGGGCGUAAAGAGCUCGUAGGCGGUUCGGUAAGUCGGGUGUGAAACCUCCAGGCUCAACCUGGAGUCGCCACUCGAUACUGCUGUGACUAGAGUCCGGUAGGGGAGCGUGGAAUUCCUGGUGUAGCGGUGAAAUGCGCAGAUAUCAGGAGGAACACCGAUGGCGAAGGCAGCUCGCUGGGACGGUACUGACGCUGAGACGCGAAAGCGUGGGGAGCAAACAGG
RNAcentral lists this ribosomal RNA (254 nucleotides) under uncultured bacterium. RNAcentral's name for it is "partial 16S ribosomal RNA". It matches the Rfam family "Bacterial small subunit ribosomal RNA", at positions 524 to 776 of the family's 1533-position model. The record is from RNAcentral.